Molecule: transfer RNA, 72 nt
Filed under: Camelus bactrianus (Bactrian camel)
Lineage: Eukaryota; Metazoa; Chordata; Mammalia; Artiodactyla; Camelidae
Also listed under: 2 other names
Rfam family: tRNA
About the family: Transfer RNA (tRNA) molecules are approximately 80 nucleotides in length.
Source: Rfam by way of RNAcentral
GGGGGUAGAGCUCAGUGGUAGAAAGCAUGCUUAGCAUGCACGAGGUCCUGGGUUCAAUCCCCGGUACCUCCA